UAACACAUUUCAUGUCUUUCCCUAAUAGAAUUUCCUAACUAGAGCCCUCCAAAAUCUCCCUCCUCCGUGUUUUCCCCCCAUUCCUUGUCCUUAAUCGUUUUCCGUCUUUAACAUUCUUCAUUCAUGGGAAAGAAGGUGUGUUAUCAGCUUGCAAAGAAUCCAGUAAUGGUGUUUGGAAUUCAAGAGUUUUUUUGUUAGACGUAACCACGAUGCUCAUUAUGUCCUACUGUAUCGAGUCUGCGCUCCAGUGGAUGAAUCGAAUUGAGGUCCCCCCCCCCUUUCGUUGUCUUUAUUUGUAAUCUGAAAUAGCUCAAGGCUAGUAGGCUUUCACAUAGCUAGAUCGUCGCUUUGAAGACAUGACUUCAAUCUGUAAAUAUUGUAGCUAUGUGUUUAUGGUUUUUCUUGCACUAGAUUAGCAUGUUGGGUAUUCGUAUUUAUGGAAUUUGUUGCUUAUCCAUAUUAA
This is a non-coding RNA of Solanum lycopersicum (tomato), 463 nucleotides long. The record is from RefSeq and is a predicted model, not a curated record. Lineage: Eukaryota; Viridiplantae; Streptophyta; Magnoliopsida; Solanales; Solanaceae.